UGGGGAAUUUUUCGCAAUGGGCGCAAGCCUGACGAAGCAACGCCGCGUGGAGGAUGAAGGUCUUCGGAUUGUAAACUCCUGUCGACCGGGACGAAUGCACCCGACCUAAUACGUCGAAGUGUUGACGGUACCUGGUGAAUAAGCCACGGCUAACUACGUGCCAGCAGCCGCGGUAAUACGUAGGUGGCAAGCGUUGUCCGGAUUUAUUGGGUUUAAAGGGUGCGUAGGUGGCCCUGUAAGUCAGUGGUGAAAUAUCUCAGCUUAACUGAGAGGGUGCCAUUGAUACUGCAGGGCUUGAGUACAGAUGAGGUAGGCGGAAUUGACGGUGUAGCGGUGAAAUGCAUAGAUAUCGUCAAGAACACCGAUAGCGAAGGCAGCUUACCAAGCUGUAACUGACACUGAGGCACGAAAGUGUGGGGAUCAAACAGGAUUAGAUACCCCGGUAGUCCCUGAGCGGGCUGGCAAGGCGCAU
Molecule: ribosomal RNA, 472 nt
Filed under: uncultured bacterium
Lineage: Bacteria
Description: bacterial SSU rRNA
Rfam family: Bacterial small subunit ribosomal RNA
Source: RNAcentral